GAGCGCCGUAGCAAUACGGAGCGGCAGACGGGAGAGUAACACGUGGGAACGUGCCCUUCAGUUCGGAACAACCCAGGGAAACUUGGGCUAAUACCGGAUACGUCCGUAAGGAGAAAGAUUUAUCGCUGAAGGAUCGGCCCGCGUCUGAUUAGCUUGUUGGUGAGGUAACGGCUCACCAAGGCGACGAUCAGUAGCUGGUCUGAGAGGAUGAUCAGCCUCACUGGGACUGAGACACGGCCCAGACUCCUACGGGAGGCAGCAGUGGGGAAUAUUGGACAAUGGGCGCAAGCCUGAUCCAGCCAUGCCGCGUGGGUGAUGAAGGCCUUAGGGUUGUAAAGCCCUUUCGGCGGGGAAGAUAAUGACGGUACCCGCAGAAGAAGCCCCGGCUAACUUCGUG
This 397-nucleotide ribosomal RNA is filed under the name uncultured bacterium. RNAcentral describes it as "bacterial SSU rRNA". It matches the Rfam family "Bacterial small subunit ribosomal RNA", at positions 64 to 507 of the family's 1533-position model. The record is from RNAcentral.